AUACGUAGGGGGCAAGCGUUAUCCGGAUUUACUGGGUGUAAAGGGAGCGUAGAUGGAAGGCCAAGUCUGAUGUGAAAGCCCGCGGCUCAACUGCGGGACUGCAUUGGAAACUGGUCAUCUGGAGUGCAGGAGAGGUUAUCGGAAUUCCCGGUGUAGCGGUGAAAUGCGUAGAGAUCGGGAGGAACACCAGUGGCGAAGGCGGGUAACUGGACUGCAACUGACGCUGAGGCGCGAAAGUGUGGGGAGCAAACAGGAUUAGAUACCCUGGUAGUCCACACUGUAAACGAUGAAUGCUAGGUGUAAGAGGUAUCGACCCCUUUUGUGCCGGAGUCAACACAAUAAGCAUUCCGCCUGGGGAGUACGGCCGCAAGGUUGAAACUCAAAGGAAUUGACGGGG
This 397-nucleotide ribosomal RNA is filed under the name uncultured bacterium. Its description in RNAcentral is "partial 16S ribosomal RNA". It matches the Rfam family "Bacterial small subunit ribosomal RNA", at positions 523 to 918 of the family's 1533-position model. The record is from RNAcentral.